RNAcentral lists this ribosomal RNA (808 nucleotides) under uncultured bacterium. RNAcentral's name for it is "bacterial SSU rRNA". It matches the Rfam family "Bacterial small subunit ribosomal RNA", at positions 587 to 1382 of the family's 1533-position model. The record is from RNAcentral.
GUCUGAUGUGAAAGCCCCCCGGCUCAACCGGGGAGGGUCAUUGGAAACUGGGGAGACUUGAGUGCAGAAGAGGAGAGUGGAAUUUCCACGUGUAGCGGUGAAAUGCGUAGAGAUAUGGAGGAACACCAGUGGCGAAGGCGACUCUCUGGUCUGUAACUGACGCUGAGGAGCGAAAGCGUGGGGAGCGAACAGGAUUAGAUACCCUGGUAGUCCACGCCGUAAACGAUGAGUGCUAAGUGUUAGGAGGGUUUCCGCCCCUUAGUGCUGCAGCUAACGCAUUAAGCACUCCGCCUGGGGAGUACGGCCGCAAGACUGAAACUCAAAGGAAUUGACGGGGGCCCGCACAAGCGGUGGAGCAUGUGGUUUAAUUCGAAGCAACGCGAAGAACCUUACCAGGUCUUGACAUCCUCUGACAAUCCUAGAGAUAGGACGUCCCCUUCGGGGAGCAGAGUGACAGGUGGUGCAUGGUUGUCGUCAGCUCGUGUCGUGAGAUGUUGGGUUAAGUCCCGCAACGAGCGCAACCCUUGAUCUUAGUUGCCAGCAUUCAGUUGGGCACUCUAAGGUGACUGCCGGUGACAAACCGGAGGAAGGUGGGGAUGACGUCAAAUCAUCAUGCCCCUUAUGACCUGGGCUACACACGUGCUACAAUGGACAGAACAAAGGGCAGCGAAACCGCGAGGUUAGAGCCUAAUCCUCACAAAUCUGUUCUCAGUUCGGAUCUGCAGUCUGCAACUCGCCUGACGAUGAAGCUGGAAUCGCUAGUAAUCGCGGAUCAGCAUGCCGCCGGUGAAUACGUUCCCGGGGCCCU